UACAGAGGUGGCAAGCGUUGUUCGGAAUUACUGGGCGUAAAGGGCUCGUAGGUGGCCAACUAAGUCAGACGUGAAAUCCCUCGGCUUAACCGGGGAACUGCGUCUGAUACUGGAUGGCUUGAGUUCGGGAGAGGGAUGCGGAAUUCCAGGUGUAGCGGUGAAAUGCGUAGAUAUCUGGAGGAAUACCGGUGGCGAAGGCGGCAUCCUGGACCAUUACUGACGCUGAGGCGCGAAAGCUAGGGGAGCAAACGGG
This 253-nucleotide ribosomal RNA is filed under the name uncultured bacterium. Its description in RNAcentral is "partial 16S ribosomal RNA". It matches the Rfam family "Bacterial small subunit ribosomal RNA", at positions 524 to 776 of the family's 1533-position model. The record is from RNAcentral.